RNAcentral lists this transfer RNA (77 nucleotides) under Desulfuromonas acetoxidans. Its description in RNAcentral is "tRNA-Pro". It matches the Rfam family "tRNA". From Rfam's summary of the family: Transfer RNA (tRNA) molecules are approximately 80 nucleotides in length. RNAcentral also lists the same sequence under 12 other names. Lineage: Bacteria; Pseudomonadati; Thermodesulfobacteriota; Desulfuromonadia; Desulfuromonadales; Desulfuromonadaceae. The record is from RNAcentral.
CGGGGCGUAGCGCAGCCUGGUAGCGCACCUGCUUCGGGAGCAGGGGGCCGGAGGUUCAAAUCCUCUCGCCCCGACCA